RNAcentral lists this ribosomal RNA (253 nucleotides) under uncultured bacterium. RNAcentral's name for it is "partial 16S ribosomal RNA". It matches the Rfam family "Bacterial small subunit ribosomal RNA", at positions 524 to 776 of the family's 1533-position model. The record is from RNAcentral.
UACGUAGGGGGCAAGCGUUGUCCGGAAUCAUUGGGCGUAAAGCGCGUGUAGGCGGCUUGAUAAGUCUGCUCUGAAAGCCCGGGGCUCAACCCCGGGAGGCGGGUGGAUACUGUCAAGCUCGAGUCCGGAAGAGGAGUGUGGAAUUCCUGGUGUAGCGGUGAAAUGCGCAGAUAUCAGGAGGAGCACCGGUGGUGUAGACGGCUCACUGGACCGUAACUGACGCUGAGACACGAAAGCGUGGGUAGCAAACAGG